Long non-coding RNA from Cheilinus undulatus (humphead wrasse), 776 nucleotides. RefSeq lists it as uncharacterized. The record is from RefSeq and is a predicted model, not a curated record. The transcript is spliced from 3 exons. Lineage: Eukaryota; Metazoa; Chordata; Actinopteri; Labriformes; Labridae.
CAAACCUACGUGAGCAAUAAAAACACAAAUAAAGAUUUAAUACGGUGGCCGAGAGGGUUUGACUUUGGAUUUAUUCGCUACAAGGUGGCAGCGCGAGGGGGUUUUAUUUUCUCGCGUUGUUUUACGGAAAUGUUCCACCUGAGAGUUGAACUUCCGGAACAGUGACGAUGUCAGCUGACGCUCGUGUAGCGACUGUGUGGAGAGGAUUGGCUCUCAGUAAAAAAAAUCAACUUUCCCCGUGAAAAUAAGGGACUUCCUGUUUGGAUGCAGAGCUGCGUCUCAGGAGGACUGAAGAUUUUCAGACUGGACCACAGAAGAAGAACCUGUCCCGGACUGAACAGGAACCAUGGGGACAGUGAAAAGGUUUGCCUCGUCCUCUGAACCGUCUGAGAGCUUCAGACUGAAAUGAGACCAGGACUGGUUCUUCAGGGAGACUCUGACGGGGCUCUAGGCAGAAACAAAGAAAAGUUAGAGCACUAAAUGUGGGCUGUAGUUAAUGAUGAUUAAUCUGAUUAAUCGUGACAGCACUAAUAAUAAUAAUAAUAGGGAGUAUUAAUAUUUUCCUCAUGAAUUUGAGCUGCACGCUUUCUCUCUGAACUGUUGGUGGAUCUUUAGUCCAGGUUGGUGAUCACAGCUUUAAGGAGGAUUUUUUAAGGUGGAACUCCAGAGUUUUUAGAUUUUAAAGUCUACAAAUGUUUAUAAGACAGUUGAAAACAGAGGGUGGGUCUGUCUGAUAGGAGUGUGUCUCUGGACCCUCUGAACCUUCUCAUGCAAAA